Molecule: long non-coding RNA, 1033 nt
Organism: Psammomys obesus (fat sand rat)
Lineage: Eukaryota; Metazoa; Chordata; Mammalia; Rodentia; Muridae
Exons: 4
Source: RefSeq, a predicted model, not a curated record
GGGAGCCGAAGCCGAGGGGGACGGACGCGCCAGCCACUCUCUGGGGGACCCAGUUCAUCGCCUUUUGCCUCGGACAUUACUUUUAGCCUGAGUACCUAACCCUGGAGAGAGGCCACCUCCACCCUGGGGCCAGGAGGGGAGAAGCGAGCCAGGGACGAGAGUGCCGAAGUCGGAAGCCCAGAUGGCCAGUGAGGCCUUCCUGGAUCUGCAGAGGUGUGGAACCAGUGUUUACAUGCCUGGGGUGCUGCUCCCUAACAGGAGGAUGCCUUGGAUCCCUUCACUUCACACAGAGAGACCCACUUCUCACCUGUCCAGACCCCAGGAAGCCCAGGAGCAAAAAUGACCAAGUUUGGCAUGGUGAGUCCUAACCUCCGCCACUGGUCUUUGCACCCUCCUGGUGGAGCUGAGUCCUGCAUGUGGCAUGAUAGUGGGCCCAUCACACAUGUGUAGAGAAUGAAGACAGCCACAGUGACAUGCUGAGCAUUUAUUAUGCAUCAACAGCCUUCAGCCGCUGAUGGUCUGUAUUGCGAGAGUCAACUUGAUGGGAAUCAGAAUCAAGCCUCUGGGUGGGGCCAUCAGGAAGUUUGAAGAUUCUGCUUCCUGGAGGGGAAGCUCUACCCUGAGUGUUGGCGGUUCCAUCUCGUCACGUUCGUGGGUCCUGGACUGAAUCAAGAGGAGAAGGCUCUCUGAGCAUUCCUCUCUCCGCUUUCCCACCGUGGACACCACGUGACCAGCUGCCUUCUCCUGCUGCCUCGCCUCCCGGCCAUACUGGACUGUACCCCCUCAGACCGUGAGCCAGAUCCAACCAUUCCUUCCUUAGGCUGCUUCUGCCAAGUGUUUCGUCAGAGCAGUGAGACAAGGGCGAACACACCGCCGACACACACGUGCAGAGUGUGCAGGACUUUUACCGGGGACACACUCCCAGCCUGUCUGAACUCUUCGUUCGCACCUUCUCCAGCCGCUUUUCUGGAAAACCACUUCUGUUCUUCUAGAGUCUCUUUUCGGUCGAUAAAAUAAAAUUCGGAUUCUGUCA